CAUACCCCUUGGCUCCUCCACUCUUCUUCCUGUUGUCGUCUUCUUCGGUAGAGGCACGAGCCUCUCGUGCUCGCCUUUCCCCGGUCGCUGUCUCCCCCACAACCACUCCCUCCACCUCUCUUUUAAUCCCCAUCCGAGCCACAGAAACCCUAGUGUUUCUCCUCCCUCGCGCCGCCGCCUCCCAUCUCUCCUCUUGUUUUGUUUCAUCUUCUCUGUGACCAACGAAGAACACUGCCACCAUCCUCCCCGCCAUGGCGCCGCCGCUACAGACCGCCCCUCGCCGAGCUAAAACCACCGUUAGAUGCGCCUCAUCGUUCUCUUCGUCUGGGUAUAAGGAAUCGAGCCGGGAGCCCUCUAAUCAAGCGCACGGUCGCCGAUUCUCCGCGCCGGUCGGUGUGCUUCUUCUUCGAUUCCGGCCGCCCUCGUCCUCCUCUGGCCAAACCGAGCUUACCUCCGGCUGUUCCGUGACCAGGCGCACCCUCGACGCUCUCGCGCUCGUCCUGUUUCGCACGCAGCCGUCAAGUUCUUCUUCAACCAGGGCCUCCGCCAUGAACGCCAUGCCUGAGCUCUGCCUCCGCUUGGUUCAACUUGCUCCGCACCUUCCUUUUGACACGAACCUAACACCAGCUCAAUGAUCUAGCGCAGAGAGAAGCUUCUUUUUGCUUAGGGCCUCUCCAAUUUCAACAUCAGCAAGCAGCCUAGCUGAUCUGGCAGCACCGACGGGCCUCGGCCCAGAUCCUCCGUCCCUGAUCAACGCCCAGUGCGGCCCAGCCCAAUCUCACGCCAAAGCUGACCAGUUCCGGCCCAGGACAGCGCAGCAUUUGCUUCUUCCCGGAUAGGAUCACGAAGUGGUGCAGUGAGAUACGCCAAGUUCUCCGGAUGUCCCUCGGCAAGCUUUAACAGGCAAGCAUUUCCCUUAUACUCCUGCCCCUGCAGAAGUCGCUCACCUAUUUUAUUUUGCCUUCUCCCUCAUGCUAUCCUUAAGUUGCGUUCUUGUCACGUGUCCUUUCCACUUGUUACCUCAAGCAGCCCAUAUUGCCACCACCACCUCCUACGGCUAUUGUUUGGUUAUCGAGUCUGCCCUUGCGAGUCGUAGUGCAUGCUAGUGCUGUUUUAUCUCGUUACCUUUAUUGUUAUCUUAUCGGGUUAUAUGUUGGGAAGAAUCAUGGUUACUUUAGUUGUUGAUAAUUGUUUAGCGGAGGCAUCGGUGGGUCAGCUGCUCGUUUUGUGACGGCUCACUUGUGUUUUCUAAAUAUCUUAGGACCCCGAGUUCUUGUUAUCUGUUCCGAGACUGAGCGCUCUAACCACACGUGGGUAUGCUUACCGGGUCUCCCCUCGACCACUGCUGGAAUCUACAUCUUUGUCCAGUGGCCACAACUAGUUUGAAGGUUUUGUUUCUCCCGGGCGUGCAAGCUUGUUUCUUUGUGGUCAGAUGAUAUGAUGUUAGUUUUGGGGAAGCUAUGUGCCUUGUAACCCCGUUGUCUCUUGCACGCUCGUAGGAUGCGGUGCCACUGCGAAGUGGUCAUCCCGCUGGGCACUGUCCACCUAGCACGCAGUCGCAAUAGCUGAGUCCGCUUCGGAGCACGGCCGGACUCUGAUACGGGUUUAACUUAGUUAGGUGGCUUCCUGGACAUUGUUGUAGUGAAGGAGAGUGCGUGUCGUGAUAUCCACCUGUCGUAAGUGGGUUGAGCGUGCGUGUGGGCACAUUUGGGCACCCCUGCAGGGUUACAAUCUUAUCGAUAAGCCGCGUCCGCGGUUAUGGACGACUUGGAGCUGUAUGACUUGACCAUAGACAACUUACACAUGUUGUUUCAAUCAUAAUAACUUGUGUAGUAAGUUAGCACAACUUCAAUAAUAAAUGGUUAAAACUUGACAACCGUGUGGGUGCCUUUGUAAGUACUUCUUUGCGAAGGGGGAAAGUAUCGGCUGUGUUAUGUUUGCAGAGUAUAGAACUGUUAGUUGUGCGCUCUCUCACCUUCUCUGAUUAGACGAAUGUUGUAGAGUGUCUCUAUAGGUUUUUAGUGCUUGCGCGCUGCCGCUUAACCCCACCAUAUUGCCUAUGACGUUCCUCUUGCGUCCUCUAAGUCCCCUGCGUGCCUCAAGUACAAAGGACGACUGGUUGACGAAUGCUUAUACGUCUUGAAGUCUUGUUAAGUACGAACCCGUACUUAUUGCUGCUUCUACGGGAUAUAACCGGGCAGGUAUGAAGAUAUGUUCGAUGAAGACGACGUUAGCAAGGUUACCCUUCCGGCUUGGCCUGGGCAGGGUUAUGGACGCCAUCGUUUAUCUUCAGGACUCUUAGUCCAAUUUGUAUCUUGUCCGUACUCGGACGUAUUCGAUCUUCUGUAUGAUUUGGAUCUUUGUAUUGUAUAUUUGUAUCUUGACUCGUGGAGUCGUUGUUGUAAUAUAUGUUCUUGUGGGCUCUAUUGUAAACCUGUUGUAAUGUUACUACUCGUGGUAAUUCCUCUGGCAUCACGUGUGCUUUGUCGCGCACGUCGUGUCGGAGGGCGUGUCGGAAUCGAUAUCGUGCGGAUUUCGGCGGGUUCGCUGGGAUCCUCAGGGUACCGGUUCCGGGGCGUCACACAC
Lolium perenne is the source of this 2586-nucleotide long non-coding RNA. RefSeq lists it as uncharacterized. The record is from RefSeq and is a predicted model, not a curated record. Lineage: Eukaryota; Viridiplantae; Streptophyta; Magnoliopsida; Poales; Poaceae.